CAGUCGAACGAAGAUCUUAAAAUGAGAGCUUCGGCAGGAUUUUUAUUUAUCUUAGUGGCGGACGGGUGAGUAACGUGUGGGCAACCUGCCCUAUACUGGGGAAUAAUCACUGGAAACGGUGACUAAUACCGCAUGUCAUUACGGAAGGGCAUCCUUCUGUAAGAAAAGGAGUAAUUCGGUAUAGGAUGGGCCCGCAUCUGAUUAGCUAGUUGGUGAGAUAACAGCCCACCAAGGCGACGAUCAGUAGCCGACCUGAGAGGGUGAUCGGCCACAUUGGGACUGAGACACGGCCCAAACUCCUACGGGAGGCAGCAGUGGGGAAUAUUGCACAAUGGGGGAAACCCUGAUGCAGCAACGCCGCGUGAAGGAAGAAGGUUUUCGGAUCGUAAACUUCUAUCAACAGGGACGAAGAAAGUGACGGUACCUGAAUAAGAAGCCCCGGCUAACUACGUGCCAGCAGCCGCGGUAAUACGUAGGGGGCAAGCGUUAUCCGGAAUUACUGGGUGUAAAGGGAGCGUAGGCGGCACGCCAAGCCAGAUGUGAAAGCCCGAGGCUUAACCUCGCGGAUUGCAUUUGGAACUGGCGAGCUAGAGUACAGGAGAGGAAAGCGGAAUUCCUAGUGUAGCGGUGAAAUGCGUAGAUAUUAGGAAGAACACCAGUGGCGAAGGCGGCUUUCUGGACUGAAACUGACGCUGAGGCUCGAAAGCGUGGGGAGCAAACAGGAUUAGAUACCCUGGUAGUCCACGCCGUAAACGAUGAGUGCUAGGUGUC
Molecule: ribosomal RNA, 771 nt
Filed under: uncultured bacterium
Lineage: Bacteria
Description: bacterial SSU rRNA
Rfam family: Bacterial small subunit ribosomal RNA
Source: RNAcentral